RNAcentral lists this long non-coding RNA (1880 nucleotides) under Pelobates cultripes (western spadefoot toad). Lineage: Eukaryota; Metazoa; Chordata; Amphibia; Anura; Pelobatidae. The record is from RNAcentral.
UCACAGUGUAAAAUAGAGGAACAGAAAGAGAGCAACAAGACAUUUAAUGUAUAAAGGAUACAGGUCAAUGGUUUUUAAUGUGUGAUGAGCUAAGAAUCUACUCCGACGUGCAGCAAACUAUAUUAAUCCCAUAAAGGAAAUCAAAUUACCUGCAGUGUUUUGGCCACCUCCUAAGGAUUGCAUGAAAUGCACCAGCUUCACGGGUGAGCAUUUUAUGGCGAGUAUUUUCAUCUCCAGGAAGCAUUGUACGGGUUAUAGUGAAAGGGAGAUCAUAGUAACAGUCUAUUUUAUACACAUCUCCCCAGAAAGGCUCCUUCUCAUUAAGGCAGCCAUGUCUCCCAGCUCCACUCACAAGAUUGUCAGCUUAAGCAGCAGUUCCAUUUGUUUAUCUGAUGAAGGGGACUCCUGCAAAGAGCUGACCUACAUCAGUAUUGGCAGAACUACUUCCUGAGUUGAUGAAAACGCACUCAUGAAAUAAAACAUUUGUUAAAAGAUUUACAGAAAAUGUAUCCUUUUUUUUAGUUUAAGAUAUUGUGCAUGGUUUAAUGCAUCCUAUAGAAUGUUAGUAAUUGUCUUUAGUCUCCCUUUAAGAUAAGUUAACGCUUUAUUCGAAUCAAUGCAUCUCUAUGAGGAAUGUUCAGUGUUUGCAUGCAGAGGGUGGAGACACUGAAUGGCAGUCACUGUGCAGCACUGCCCCAGGAAGCACCUCUAGUAGCCAUCUGAGGAGUGGCCAGUGGAGGUAUUCCUAGGCUGUAAUGUAAACACUGCAUUUUCUCUGAACCAAACAGUGUUUACAGCAAAAAAGCCUGAAGGUAAUGAUUCUACUCACCAGAACAAAUUCAAUAAGCUGUAGUUGUUCUGGUAACUGUGGUGUGUCCCUUUUACUCAAAAUUCUAGCAAACUCAAAAUCUAAAGUAGUGGAAAAUUAAGGCAAAAAUAACUGAUCUGAAUGUAGCAGUCUGUCUGUUUAAUAUUGUAAUGGCUUCUAGGAGGACGGAUUCAAAAUGUGCGGGUUUCACAGUAACAUGCUCAUUCAUGAAUUAACUUUGUAUCACCAUGCCUUGCCAAAAAAUAAGCAAAUUAAAAACUCCUGGAAAUGAAAGAGUUUAAAAAAAUAAAUAAAAAUAAAGUAUUAUGAAAAGUCACAAAUAACUUGGCAUCCUGUUUUUACAAAAAAAAAAAGUUUUGAUUCUCCCCUAGUGUUACGGAAUGUUUUAAUCACAGCUUGGUAUACUGCGUUCCUUCUUGACACGUUUCUUGCUUGCUCUACAGUUUCUUGAUGAUUAGGGCAUUAAAUAAAAACAGAAUUUAAUAUUUUUACAAAAAUGUCUCUUAAAAUGUUACAAUUCUAAUGUGUAGGUCACAAUAUUCACUGUUCUGGCGAUUGCUUUCCUGCAGAUUCUGUGAAAAACUGCCUUACACCUUCAGGAUUAUUCAACGGGAAUUUCUAAUUCGAGUUCACAAUAAACAAAUUGGAAAAAUUCUCUAAGUCUGUUUUCAGUUCAGCUAUUUGGGGCCUAAGAUUCAGAUUUCAAAGUGAAUUUCUAGAAAAUCCCACUUGAGUCGGUUAGCUACAGAUAAGGUAGAUCCACAGCCCUCGCGGACUACAAGUCCCAUGAUGCUCUUGUAGUGUUAAGUGUUGUAAGAGGAUCUUGGGAAUUGAAGCUCUCAAAUAGGUAAGGCGCAAUCUUUUGCGCACUCUUGGUUAUCCCCAAUAGUGUUUUUGAAACAAUGCAGAAACGAAAUGUCAUGGUCAGUGGUGAUAGUUGAGGCUAAAGCAGGGGUGGCCAAAAAAAAAAAAAAAGAUUCCUUGCUAUAGUUGAACGCGAUUAGGCAGUCUUUGCUCUCAACACUGCUAAAGGCACAAAACUAAAUUUGCG